GUAAAAGUCGUAACAAGGUUUCCGUAGGUGAACCUGCGGAAGGAUCAUUACCGAGUGAGGGCCCUCUGGGUCCAACCUUCCCCACCCGUGGUUUAUUUUACCUUGUUGCUUCGGCGGGCCCGCCUUAACUHGGCCGCCGGGGGGCUUACGCCCCCGGGCCCGCGCCCGCCGAAGACACCCUCGAACUCUGUCUGAAGAUUGAAGUCUGAGUGAAAAUAUAAAUUAUUUAAAACUUUCAACAACGGAUCUCUUGGUUCCGGCAUCGAUGAAGAACGCAGCGAAAUGCGAUACGUAAUGUGAAUUGCAAAUUCAGUGAAUCAUCGAGUCUUUGAACGCACAUUGCGCCCCCUGGUAUUCCGGGGGGCAUGCCUGUCCGAGCGUCAUUGCUGCCCUCAAGCCCGGCUUGUGUGUUGGGCCCCGUCCCCCGAUCUCCGGGGGACGGGCCCGAAAGGCAGCGGCGGCACCGCGUCCGGUCCUCGAGCGUAUGGGGCUUUGUCACCCGCUCUGUAGGCCCGGCCGGCGCUUGCCGAUCAACCCAAAUUUUUAUCCAGGUUGACCUCGGAUCAGGUAGGGAUACCCGCUGAACUUAAGCAUAUCAA
This 599-nucleotide ribosomal RNA is filed under the name uncultured fungus. RNAcentral describes it as "eukaryotic LSU rRNA". The record is from RNAcentral. Lineage: Eukaryota; Fungi.